GCCAUAAUCUUUUCAUUUGAAAUUUCUGCCUCUCAAAAGUAACCUUUUUAUUGGGUCAACAUAAAUAUAAUUCUUCGGUUACUUCAAUUAACAGAAGUGCUAACUUGGGAUAUUAAAUAACGUAACUUAUGGCCUAUACAAAUUUUUCUUUGCUUCUCAUUUGCAAAUCUUUUUUCCUGCAACAUGCAAAUCUAGAUUUCGAAGUGGCUCAAAAUGCAAAAUAGUAAAAUUUUAUACUGAAAUAAACCAUUCUAAACUUUAAUAAACAGUUGUAUGACUUUCGGGAAAACUUAUGAAUGAGCCAAGUAACCAUCCCCAAUACACGUUAUCACAACAAACAUCUCCUUUACACAUGUAUAUCACUAGAAAACUAAAAUCUUCACAAAACAGAGAAGCCAAGAACCAUGCGCUUUAGCAGGAUGGAGCAGGGUGAAACUUCUAUAUGGAUUCAACCAUUCCUAAUUUACCUUCAUAGUUGACAAGCUAUGCAUAGCAAUACCUUUCUCAUUACUAGCACGCAAGCUCCUCCACCAAACGAAGUCAUUUCACACCAAUUGUACAUCUCCAACGGCAAUAUCUACAAUUCUGAUUGAUGCCUUUACAAGCAUAAUCAAAUUCUAUUCAGUUAAAUGUAACAGCAAUUAUCAUGAUACAAGCUCAUCUUGCAAGAGAAUCUCAUAAAUAUCUGUCCUCAGAUUCAAUUCCUUAUCCCGCAUUACUUCUUGGAGAUCAGACAGCUCCUUCGCAGAUAGGACGGAAUUCAAUUUUAAAAAACCAUCAAGCCACAGUUUUUUGGACCAAGGACAGGCAUGAAUAGCUCGGAAGAAAAUUCGCCUAGCAGCAGAAGGAUUGCAUGCUAUGUCAAUUUCAUAAGCAAUGUAAGUACGCCAAAGUAUGACUGAUUUACGCAAGCUCUCAUUUGCCAAUGCUCUUUCAAAUAACCCAUGGAUUCUGUGAUGGGAGCCUCCUCUGCUCAUCUCAAAAGACAAUGCAAAAAUCCAAACAAUAACAGAAGGUUUCUUGUAACAGUAAUCAUCGAACAUCCACCGCAAUUUAUUGGGUGUUGCAUAACGAUGGCUGAUCUCCACUAAGGCCCUGAAGAGUUCAGGACUGCAAGGAUAUACUUGCAGCCCCUGAGAGAUGGACUCCCAGAGUUUCGAUGAGCUUGAUUGCUUAUGAUGUCUUAAAAGCAUCCUCAUAUAAUAAUUGAACAAAAAUUCAAGUUGGUAACUGUGCCGCCUCCUUUCUGCAGAUUAGAAACAUUGUAUGUCACAAGAACAACUAAAAAUGAACCAAUUAACAUUGUAAAACGCCUCGACCCUUGUGCCCUGUCCACUGAAUAAGAACUUCCCUUCUAGGUUUUUUGCCUAACCAGUUCAUACAUGAAUGGUCAGUUGACAAAGAAAAACAUUCAUAGCAAUAAUAAAUGCUUCAUCAAUUCUGAAUUGCACAGAUGAACAAAAAAAUGAGACAAGGAAGACCCCAAAAUAGAAGACCCCAAAAUAUCUCUUUCUUAUAUCUAAACAAAGCUAAGAGAACCACAAUCACUGCCUUCACCAAGAUAAUUAAACUAAAAUGUGAACUAAAAAGAUAUGCAAUUGAAAUAGACAAACAAAAUCCCUUCUCACUGUCAUGCAACCAUCAUGAAUCUCCAUAUUUGUGUCCCUGUUUUACGUUUCAGUUUGUACUUCUCACGGACCACACAAAUAGUAAUAAAUGAAACAUUUCUCUAGAAUUACAAAGAUGAAUGCUGACUCUGAUACUACAAGAGCCAUAAUUAUUUCAUUAAUUCAAUCUAAAAGGAUUAGCUUGUCAAUGAAACACCUUUGCACCCCCAAAAUAAAAUGUAUUAGAAAAAAAAGAGGAAGCAAAGGAAAAUCAUGUAAAGGCUUAUGAACCUGGAAGCACCAUAGUCAAUGCUUCAUCUACAACUCCAAUGCCUGCAGCCCACCCAGUUGUCAACUCUUCAAAUAAAGCUGCUGAACAAAUUAGAGCAACAGACUGAUCAUCUACAACACCACGUACCCAUGCUGAUUGAACUGUUCUCAUUUUUUCUUUAAACCCUUGGUGUGCUCUCAGCAAUUGCAGGC
This 2090-nucleotide unclassified non-coding RNA is filed under the name Hevea brasiliensis (rubber tree). Lineage: Eukaryota; Viridiplantae; Streptophyta; Magnoliopsida; Malpighiales; Euphorbiaceae. The record is from RNAcentral.